This is a non-coding RNA of Pelobates cultripes (western spadefoot toad), 1027 nucleotides long. The record is from the annotation of a GenBank genome assembly. Lineage: Eukaryota; Metazoa; Chordata; Amphibia; Anura; Pelobatidae.
GGCACAUAGUGCCAAGCUGAGGCAAAGUUUUCUUGUCAUAUUGUUUAUGUCUCUGCCAAUGUUUCAAGGUUCAAAUGUUAACUGGUUAUUGUAAACGCACCCACACAAACUACACUCUAAUUCACUAGAGACUCGACACGCAUUGAAGCUCCAUGGCCUAGGGCCACGCUUUAGGCAGCGAGGAACGCACAGGCUACUAUUACACGUAACAAGCCGACGGGGGAUGACAUGGGACGUGAACUCCAGGACUUAAGAGAUUGGUUCCACAAUAGCCCGCACACUCACAGGUGCUGUCACGAGACUCGUGACCUCCCUCGACCCCCAACAGGAGGGGGCUACUGACCCCGGGCAGUGGGUCGCCUCGCACCCCUGGCGGGUAGGCGACUAGCCCUGCCCGGGCAACCCACAUCCUAGACAGCGCCCAGGCGGACGCUGGUUCACUACAGACAGACUACUCACCCCUACCUCCCCGCCCCUUCUUUCCUAGACUACCUCCCCUAGACUGACACCCUGGGGUCCUCUAAGGGCCUCAACAUCACCACGAUAAACGCCAGGGGGCUCAAUAGACCCGAGAAACGCACGAGCGCACUGAGAGACUUCCACAGAUCCAGAAUGGACGUGGUUUUUAUUCAGGAAACACACUUCAAAGAAGGGCUCCGGCCCAAACUGACUAACCACAGAUACACCAAGGGUACUAUAGCGACUACAAGGAAAACAAAUCGAGAGGGGUCGCCAUACUGAUCCAUAAACGGGUACCAUUCCAUGAAACGGAGACUAAGUCAGACCCAGACGGAAGAUACUUGUUCCUGAAGGGCACCAUAGCCGAAACCACAUAUACAUUCGCCAACAUAUACGCCCCCAAUCAAAGGCACUACAGGUUCCUCCACCGCACCAUGCGUAAAUUGCAAACUUUCACAGAGGGCAUACUGAUUUUGGGAGGGGACUUCAACCUGACAAUGGACCCUAAAUGGGAUUCAUCCUCCGGGUCAUCCAGGGUCCCGACGCAACACCUAACCCACAUAAAAGC